Molecule: long non-coding RNA, 153 nt
Organism: Thalassophryne amazonica
Lineage: Eukaryota; Metazoa; Chordata; Actinopteri; Batrachoidiformes; Batrachoididae
Exons: 3
Source: RefSeq, a predicted model, not a curated record
CUCACUCACACCUAGUCAAUUUACAAUCAACAAUUCACCUAACCUGCAUGUCCUUGGAGGUGGGAGGAAGUCAGAGUACCCGGAGGGAAACCAUGCAAGCACAGGGACAACAUGCACACUCCACACAGAAAGACCUUAGGUGGGCAUCGAUCC